UACAGAGGGGGCAAGCGUUGUUCGGAAUUACUGGGCGUAAAGGGCGCGUAGGCGGCCUGUUAAGUCGAACGUGAAAUCCCCGGGCUCAACCCAGGAACUGCGUCCGAUACUGGCAGGCUUGAAUCCGGGAGAGGGAUGUGGAAUUCCAGGUGUAGCGGUGAAAUGCGUAGAUAUCUGGAGGAACACCGGUGGCGAAGGCGGCAUCCUGGACCAACACUGACACUGAGGAGCGAAAGCCAGGGGAGCAAACGGG
RNAcentral lists this ribosomal RNA (253 nucleotides) under uncultured bacterium. RNAcentral describes it as "partial 16S ribosomal RNA". It matches the Rfam family "Bacterial small subunit ribosomal RNA", at positions 524 to 776 of the family's 1533-position model. The record is from RNAcentral.